Molecule: ribosomal RNA, 158 nt
Filed under: uncultured Inquilinus sp.
Lineage: Bacteria; Pseudomonadati; Pseudomonadota; Alphaproteobacteria; Rhodospirillales; Rhodospirillaceae
Description: partial 16S ribosomal RNA
Rfam family: Bacterial small subunit ribosomal RNA
Source: RNAcentral
CUUACUCUUACGGGAGGCAGCAUUGGGGACUCCUACGGGAGGCAGCAGUGGGGAAUAUUGGACAAUGGGCGCAAGCCUGAUCCAGCCAUGCCGCGUGAGUGAUGAAGGCCUUCGGGUUGUAAAGCUCUUUCACCCACGACGAUGAUGACGGUACGUGG